CCCUUAGAUGUUCUGGGCUGCACGCGCGCUACACUGAUGCAUGCAACGAGUUUUCGACCUUGCCUGAAAAGGUUGGGUAAUCUGUUUAACAUGUGUCGUGAUGGGGAUAGACCAUUGCAAUUAUUGAUCUUCAACGAGGAAUUCCUAGUAAGCGCGAGUCAUCAGCUCGUGCUGAUUAUGUCCCUGCCCUUUGUACACACCGCCCGUCGCUCCUACCGAUUGAGUGGUCCGGUGAAUGAUUCGGACCAGCGUGCUGCUCAGAUCCUGCGCAGUGUGCUGGGAAGUCUAGUGAACCUUAUCACUUAGAGGAAGGAGAAGUCGUAACA
RNAcentral lists this ribosomal RNA (326 nucleotides) under uncultured eukaryote. Its description in RNAcentral is "partial 18S ribosomal RNA". It matches the Rfam family "Eukaryotic small subunit ribosomal RNA", at positions 1470 to 1796 of the family's 1831-position model. The record is from RNAcentral.